AUUGAACGCUGGCGGAAUGCUUUACACAUGCAAGUCGAACGGCAGCACGGACUUCGGUCUGGUGGCGAGUGGCGAACGGGUGAGUAAUGUAUCGGAACGUGCCCAGUCGUGGGGGAUAACGUAGUGAAAAUUACGCUAAUACCGCAUACGAUCUAUGGAUGAAAGCGGGGGAUCGCAAGACCUCGCGCGAUUGGAGCGGCCGAUAUCAGAUUAGGUAGUUGGUGGGGUAAAGGCCCACCAAGCCAACGAUCUGUAGCUGGUCUGAGAGGACGAGCAGCCACACUGGAACUGAGACACGGUCCAGACUCCUACGGGAGGCAGCAGUGGGGAAUUUUGGACAAUGGGCGAGAGCCUGAUACAGCCAUUCCGCGUGCAGGAUGAAGGCCCUCGGGUUGUAAACUGCUUUUGUACAGAACGAAAAGGUUUCUACUAAUACUAGGAGCUCAUGACGGUACUGUAAGAAUAAGCACCGGCUAACUACGUGCCAGCCGCCGCAGUAA
Molecule: ribosomal RNA, 500 nt
Filed under: uncultured bacterium
Lineage: Bacteria
Description: partial 16S ribosomal RNA
Rfam family: Bacterial small subunit ribosomal RNA
Source: RNAcentral